ACCGGCCCUUCAAAAUGACGCAGAAGCUAAAGAGUUGAAGCCCCAGGCUGAAGGGAAGUGGAUUGCUGCAGCUGACCGUAAAGAGAACUGGAAAUUGAAGAGCCAACUGGAAAUUGAGAGGGCUAAAACAAAGAAGCAACACAUUGAAUUGACAAAGUUGGCAGAAGCUCUUAAAAACCAGCAGGAGGACACGAUGAGCAAACAGAGAGCGGAAAGAGACAAGAUGGCUGCAGCCCUGAAAGCAUCACAGGACCUUCUCAAGAGUGAGCACUUCACCACUCAGCAGAUGACGACCAACCAAGGUGAAAUGCAACAAUUCAAGGCCUCAAGCCAAGCUAAACUGGACGAACAGAGGGAUGCUAUCAUUAAGCUCAAGGCCGCUCUGGAAAAGUCUGAGCAGGACCUGAAGGCCGGUCAUCUCCAGUGGCAACAGGAAAAGGUUUCCCUCAAAGAACACUGUGUCCACUUAUCUCAUUCUGAGGGCCAACACAUGGGCACGCAGACCCAUGCAGUUGAUCAAGAGAUGGACGAACAGAGAGAGGAGACAAUCAGGAUCUUAGCCACCCUGAAAGCAACACAGGACGAGCUCCAAGCUGAGCGGAUGAAGGGAGAAAAACAGGCCCUUCAAAAUGACGUGGAGGCUAUGAUGUUGAAGGUCCGUGCUGAAUUGAAGCUGGCUAAAACUAACGUGGAGUUGGAAUUGGAAAGUCAACUGGAAAUUGAGAGGGCUCAAACAAAGAAGCAACAAAUUGAAAUAUCAACGUUGGCAGAAGCUCUUAAAAACCAGCAGGAGGCAGUAAAGCAAGUAAAGGAAUUAUUCCAGGCUUUCCAACAGGACACGAUGAGCAAACAGAGAGCGGAAAGAGACAAGAUGGCUGCAGCCCUGAAAGCAUCACAGGACCUUCUCAAGAGUGAGGAGAUGACGACCAACCAAGGUGAAAUGCAACAAUUCAAGGCCUCAAGCCAAGCUAAACUGGACGAACAGACUCAAAUCAACGAAAGCACCAAGGCUGCUCUCCUUAAGAGUGAGCAUUGCCUGCAUAAUGCAC
Long non-coding RNA from Gasterosteus aculeatus aculeatus (three-spined stickleback), 1049 nucleotides. The record is from Ensembl. NCBI's taxonomy places the organism in Eukaryota, Metazoa, Chordata, Actinopteri, Perciformes, Gasterosteidae.